Molecule: ribosomal RNA, 499 nt
Filed under: uncultured bacterium
Lineage: Bacteria
Description: partial 16S ribosomal RNA
Rfam family: Bacterial small subunit ribosomal RNA
Source: RNAcentral
ACUCAAAUGAAUUGACGGGGGCCCGCACAAGCAGCGGAGCAUGUGGUUUAAUUCGACGCGACGCGAAGAACCUUACCUGGGCUUGACAUGUGCCGGACAGGUGUAGAAAUACACUCUCCCUUCGGGGCCGGUUCACAGGUGGUGCAUGGCUGUCGUCAGCUCGUGUCGUGAGAUGUUGGGUUAAGUCCCGCAACGAGCGCAACCCCCGUCGCAUGUUGCCAGCACGUAAUGGUGGGGACUCAUGUGAGACUGCCGGUGACAAACCGGAGGAAGGUGGGGAUGACGUCAAGUCAUCAUGCCCCUUAUGUCCAGGGCUACACACGUGCUACAUUGGCGCAUACAAAGGGCUGCGAUACCGCGAGGUGGAGCGAAUCCCAAAAAGUGCGUCUCGGUUCGGAUUGGAGGCUGAAACUCGCCUCCAUGAAGGCGGAGUUGCUAGUAAUCCCGAAUCAGCAACGUCGGGGUGAAUACGUUCCCGGGCCUUGUACACACCGCCCGU